GUCCACGCCCUAAACGUUGAUUACUCGUUGUUGGCGAUAUACUGUCAGCGACUAAGCUAAAGCGUUAAGUAAUCCACCUGGGAAGUACGACCGCAAGGUUGAAACUCAAAGGAAUUGACGGGGGCCCCGCACAAGCGGAGGAGCAUGUGGUUUAAUUCGAUGAUACGCGAGGAACCUUACCUGGGCUUGAAAGUUAGUGACCGCCUCUGAAAGGAGGCUUCUCUUCGGAGCACAAAACUAGGUGCUGCAUGGCUGUCGU
Molecule: ribosomal RNA, 259 nt
Filed under: uncultured bacterium
Lineage: Bacteria
Description: partial 16S ribosomal RNA
Rfam family: Bacterial small subunit ribosomal RNA
Source: RNAcentral